RNAcentral lists this ribosomal RNA (468 nucleotides) under uncultured bacterium. RNAcentral's name for it is "partial 16S ribosomal RNA". It matches the Rfam family "Bacterial small subunit ribosomal RNA", at positions 28 to 507 of the family's 1533-position model. The record is from RNAcentral.
GACGAACGCUGGCGGCGUGCUUAACACAUGCAAGUCGAACGGAAAGGCCCUGCUUUUGUGGGGUGCUCGAGUGGCGAACGGGUGAGUAACACGUGAGUAACCUGCCCUUGACUUUGGGAUAACUUCAGGAAACUGGGGCUAAUACCGGAUAGGAGCUCCUGCUGCAUGGUGGGGGUUGGAAAGUUUCGGCGGUUGGGGAUGGACUCGCGGCUUAUCAGCUUGUUGGUGGGGUAGUGGCUUACCAAGGCUUUGACGGGUAGCCGGCCUGGGAGGGUGACCGGCCACCUUGGGACUGAGAUACGGACCAGACUCCUACGGGAGGCAGCAGUGGGGAAUAUUGCACAAUGGGCGGAAGCCUGAUGCAGCAACGCCGCGUGCGGGAUGACGGCCUUCGGGUUGUAAACCGCUUUCGCCUGUGACGAAGCGUGAGUGACGGUAAUGGGUAAAGAAGCACCGGCUAACUACGUG